Macaca mulatta (Rhesus monkey) is the source of this 702-nucleotide long non-coding RNA. RefSeq lists it as uncharacterized. NCBI's taxonomy places the organism in Eukaryota, Metazoa, Chordata, Mammalia, Primates, Cercopithecidae. The record is from RefSeq and is a predicted model, not a curated record.
CGCCCGCUCCUACAACAAUAGUGCCCGCCCACCUGACCCCCUCCCUGGGAGAAGGCGGGGGCGGCGAGGGGGCGGCGGCCACCGGGGAGCCCGGGCCAGGCCCGGAGAGGGGAACGGACCCGUGCUGGGUGGAAGGGGCCGAGAGAGGUGUCGGAGAGUAAGACCCUCAAGGUGCUUUUCUCCUGGGAGAUGGUUCUAAUGAAGAAAGCAGUGGUGGAGGCAGCUGCUUCUCUUCCCAUCCCUGCAUCCACUCUCUUGGCCUCUCCUUUUGGGACUCUCCCACCCACAGAAGGUCCUGGGGCUGUAGGUAACAGCGGAUCUGCCAUGGGCAGCACUCCUUCCUCACACUCCUUGUAAUCUGCAACAAGGUUGUCUAAGUCUGCUCCUGAGGCAUGUGUUGCCAUGCCAACCAUCCCCAGGAGAUGGGUUCAAGUUCCUCAUACCUGGCCCUUCCCCUGGGUCCUGCAGGAGCUUCAGAACUUCCCUCCUUCUCCUCAUAUCUCUGGGUUGCUACCCAAUGCCCCUUUCCUUUCUCAUCUCACCCACACCUGCCUACUCCAGUUGUAAUGCCAACUUGGUGACUUCUUGUCCUGUGACACGACAUGUGCCUGUCAGUAUCCAUGUAGCCCUAACCUCUUUUCUUUUUCAUGGCUGGGCAUAAAGGGAGAGAGCUGAGGGCAAUAAAGGAUCAGGGGAGAGGCU